This 1418-nucleotide ribosomal RNA is filed under the name Lactiplantibacillus pentosus. RNAcentral's name for it is "bacterial SSU rRNA". It matches the Rfam family "Bacterial small subunit ribosomal RNA". RNAcentral also lists the same sequence under 1 other name. The record is from RNAcentral. Lineage: Bacteria; Bacillati; Bacillota; Bacilli; Lactobacillales; Lactobacillaceae.
CGAACUCUGGUAUUGAUUGGUGCUUGCAUCAUGAUUUACAUUUGAGUGAGUGGCGAACUGGUGAGUAACACGUGGGAAACCUGCCCAGAAGCGGGGGAUAACACCUGGAAACAGAUGCUAAUACCGCAUAACAACUUGGACCGCAUGGUCCGAGUUUGAAAGAUGGCUUCGGCUAUCACUUUUGGAUGGUCCCGCGGCGUAUUAGCUAGAUGGUGGGGUAACGGCUCACCAUGGCAAUGAUACGUAGCCGACCUGAGAGGGUAAUCGGCCACAUUGGGACUGAGACACGGCCCAAACUCCUACGGGAGGCAGCAGUAGGGAAUCUUCCACAAUGGACGAAAGUCUGAUGGAGCAACGCCGCGUGAGUGAAGAAGGGUUUCGGCUCGUAAAACUCUGUUGUUAAAGAAGAACAUAUCUGAGAGUAACUGUUCAGGUAUUGACGGUAUUUAACCAGAAAGCCACGGCUAACUACGUGCCAGCAGCCGCGGUAAUACGUAGGUGGCAAGCGUUGUCCGGAUUUAUUGGGCGUAAAGCGAGCGCAGGCGGUUUUUUAAGUCUGAUGUGAAAGCCUUCGGCUCAACCGAAGAAGUGCAUCGGAAACUGGGAAACUUGAGUGCAGAAGAGGACAGUGGAACUCCAUGUGUAGCGGUGAAAUGCGUAGAUAUAUGGAAGAACACCAGUGGCGAAGGCGGCUGUCUGGUCUGUAACUGACGCUGAGGCUCGAAAGUAUGGGUAGCAAACAGGAUUAGAUACCCUGGUAGUCCAUACCGUAAACGAUGAAUGCUAAGUGUUGGAGGGUUUCCGCCCUUCAGUGCUGCAGCUAACGCAUUAAGCAUUCCGCCUGGGGAGUACGGCCGCAAGGCUGAAACUCAAAGGAAUUGACGGGGGCCCGCACAAGCGGUGGAGCAUGUGGUUUAAUUCGAAGCUACGCGAAGAACCUUACCAGGUCUUGACAUACUAUGCAAAUCUAAGAGAUUAGACGUUCCCUUCGGGGACAUGGAUACAGGUGGUGCAUGGUUGUCGUCAGCUCGUGUCGUGAGAUGUUGGGUUAAGUCCCGCAACGAGCGCAACCCUUAUUAUCAGUUGCCAGCAUUAAGUUGGGCACUCUGGUGAGACUGCCGGUGACAAACCGGAGGAAGGUGGGGAUGACGUCAAAUCAUCAUGCCCCUUAUGACCUGGGCUACACACGUGCUACAAUGGAUGGUACAACGAGUUGCGAACUCGCGAGAGUAAGCUAAUCUCUUAAAGCCAUUCUCAGUUCGGAUUGUAGGCUGCAACUCGCCUACAUGAAGUCGGAAUCGCUAGUAAUCGCGGAUCAGCAUGCCGCGGUGAAUACGUUCCCGGGCCUUGUACACACCGCCCGUCACACCAUGAGAGUUUGUAACACCCAAAGUCGGUGGGGUAACCUUUUAGGAACC